Sapajus apella (tufted capuchin) is the source of this 2774-nucleotide long non-coding RNA. RefSeq lists it as uncharacterized. The transcript has 2 exons. The record is from RefSeq and is a predicted model, not a curated record. Lineage: Eukaryota; Metazoa; Chordata; Mammalia; Primates; Cebidae.
CAGAUCUUGUGAGAACUCUGUCAUGAGACAGCACUAGGGGGACGACGCUAAACCCUGAGAAAGCACCCCCACCCUCCAAUCACCUCCUACCGGCUCCGUCCCGCAGCACUGGAGAUUACAACUGAGCGUGAGAUUGGGGUGGGGACACAGAGCCAAACCAUAUGGGAGUUCUUUUCAGGCAGAAUUGGCGAGGGACUCCUGAAAGCAGAGCAACACAUCAAUUCAAUGUUUAAAUAGAGCCUAGGAAAGUUUCCUUUUAGCUAGUCACGUGGUCACCAUUUAAGAUUUUGUAAGAAGCCACCACAUUGGCCUUUCUGUCUUGUGACACACAGACCCCAUGAUUGGGAAUAGAAAGAAGGCACAUUCUUAGGAAAGGCGUCAACCUCACAGGGUGACCUUUCAGAUACAAUGAUUUGUAAGAGAAGAAAAAAACGCUGCAAUAAAAAGAUCGCUUUCUUUCAUUCUUUUCCAGCUCCCUUUAUUCCUAAAGGGAAUGUCUUUUGAGUCACCUUUUAUUCCAUCAUUGUAUAGGCCUUCUCUCUGCUACCUGUAUGGAAGGGAAUCCCUCAGGGCUGAGAUAUUUCUGAGCAGGUGGAGGGGGGGUGAUGGGAGGAUUCGAGGUGGCUCUUGUCAAUUCCUGUCCUGACCUGGUUUCAUUCCAGCUGCUCUUAAUUGGCAGGCAGAGCCUGCUGGCUUCCCUCAUCUGUCUCUUCCUAGUGAGUGAGUGGAAAGCAGGCCAUGGCCCUGAAGUAUGCGGUGUCCCAUCUUCCGGGGACAUUGGAUCCAGGCCUGUCUGCAGGACCCUGUCUUGAGUGGCUGCAGGCUCUUGGCUCACCUUAUGGAAGCUUUCGGAUCUUGAUGUGGGUCAGGCCUUGAGGACAGAGAAGUGAAGAGGAAGGCAGGCCCUGGCCUUAAUUUUGCUCUCUAUUUGUUUAGUAAGAGCUCCUGAGUCAGCAGUCUGUUCCACUACCCCGAUCAGCUCUCACCUCUGACCUUUGCCUGGGCAGGAACUGAACCCACCCAAUCCUGUUUUUAGACUUUGCCAUGAAUGGUAAACCCAUCUCCUGGAGGGGAGUCAGUGCUCUGCCCCCGCUCCAUUGCAGUAAGUGCACGAGAUGAAGGCUGAAGUGUGUUCAGUAACCAGCCUGCCUACGAGUUGCUGUUCAGCUGACGUAGCUCUUUCCUCAACACAGACACUGUUGCAGCUAGAACCAGAAAGGACCUGGUGAACCAGCAAGGGGCAUCUUAUUCUGAGGAUGUGAACCUUCCUGGGGGAGUCCUGCUUCUGUCAGGCAUGACAUUCCAAAUACUUAUAGAUGACCUCCCAGAAACCAACAGCAAAGACCAGACCUCUGGUAGGGUAAGGUUAAAUUAUUUACUACACAACAUCCACAUUGAGAUGUCAAGUAGACUGUUGGGUGUAUGAGUCUGGAGUUUUAUGGAAAUGUCUGAGCUAGAACUAAAAUGGUUGGGAGUCUUAGACAUGAGGGUAUUAUUGAAAUCCAGGGGUGGGUAGAGGAGGCUUGAAGACAAAGCCUGGACAUUGUACCAUUUAGAGGAAGCACAGACAGCCUGAGUCAGCAAAGCACACUGAGUGGUAGCAGCCAGCGAGUUAGGAGGAAACUAGCCCCCUUCAUGUCUUUGAUAUAUAUAGAGGUAAAUCAUUAAGGUACAAUACGAGAAUGGUUAAAGGUGUCAGAAUCAUAAGUACCAGAGAGUUUGAAAGGAAGAAAUAUUACUAGUGUUUAAUGGAGCACUUAAUAUGCAUUAAGACCCAUGCUCGCAUUGUGCACAAAACUUCAACAGCUAUCUACUUUAAAUUCUGCAUCUUAUAAAAAUUACUAGCAUUUAGUGAGUGCUUGAUGUGAGUUAGGACUGGCGUUCACAUUAUGCACAAGACUUUAUGAGGUAACUUUUCUACUAAAUUCUCCAUAUUACAGAAGAGGCAUUAAGUCUUAAGAGGGUAAAGUAACUGGACCGAGGCCAGAUGAGAUUUACUGCAUGUCCAUCUGACUCCAAAUCCCUUUGGGUGAGGAGACUAAGAUCCAGGGAGGCUAAGCAAAAUGCCCAAAAUUGCAGUCAAUUAAGGCAGAACAGGGACUCCCAUUUGCUUUCUGCUGCCUUUCCAAUGACCUACAUCUGCCUACAGCACCUUGACUGUGGGCCCGGGGAGAGGAGUCCAACCUCUUUCCAGUGUUGAAGAGCUAAGUAUUGGAGGAGAAAAAAAUGUAGAGACAACAACUAUUGUGUUUUUCUAUAGGAAGUGCUGUACAAAAUUUGAUUAUCUCUAGAUUUGAAGCCAAGCAUGGCAGCUGGGCUAGUACCUAAUUCUUAAGCUUGCCCAUGCAUGGAGGAAAAUGGGAUAUUGAAGACAUUUAAGGCCUUAUUGCUGCAUUAAUGCAGGAGCUCACAGUGAUUGCACUAUGAAAUUUACCUGGCAGCCCAGCAGGGAUAUUGCAGCUAAUUAAUUUUGCCUGACUUUAUGGAAGCCUCCUCAUUUUUAAUCCCCUCUCUGCUUUAUGCCAGAACGUGAGUGAGGGGGAUGUGGAUGGAAAUGUAAUCUGUUACUUGCAAAGUAGCUUCUAUGUGUGGCUGCCUGGCAUUUACUCCAUGGCCCACCCUGCACUUUCCAGCAUAGAUAUUUUCUUCUCAUGGGGCCUGGGCACAAAGAAAGAGGGUUUCAUUCGAUUCCAGCAGAACUGCAGAGGAAUUGAAAAUAAGGAAUUCAGAGAAGGAAGGAUAACAGGAUUUAAGAGGCUGACUGUGCAGAUUUG